This 653-nucleotide long non-coding RNA is filed under the name Lonchura striata (white-rumped munia). RNAcentral's name for it is "domestica (Bengalese finch) lncRNA (ENSLSDG00000002833.1)". The record is from RNAcentral. Lineage: Eukaryota; Metazoa; Chordata; Aves; Passeriformes; Estrildidae.
ACUGACUCUAUCCUUUCUUUUCACUUACAGUCCUGACCAUUGAACCACUGUGGUUUAAUUAUGCAAAACUGGGGUUGAAGAUUCAAGAUAUUGCUCAGAUUGUUCUGCAAUAAACUCUUCUGAUUCAACAGUGUCAGCAGGAAGGAGCCCAUGAGUGCCAAACUAACCCCAUCUCUGCAGCCAGUUGGGCCAUCACAUGAAAGCAGGAUUCUUGCUUCUCAAUUACUCAGCUCUGUUGUCCAGGUCGAAGCAGCAGUUGAUGCUACACAGAAAGACAAGCCAAGGAGACCUUGCUCAGGUUUCCUUACAUUCCAAAAAGAGAGCCCAAGUCACUAGCUUGGAGUAAUUUGAAGUUAAUCUCCCACUGAUAUCUUCAUGAGCAUCUCUGCUACACCCCUCAAGAAAAUGACCCCAACAAAGCUGUACAAACAUGGUGUGUCUGUGAUUCCAUUUCCCUCUGGACUGUGGAGCUGGAUUCAUGUCACCAGCACACCGACAAACAAAAGGAAAUCCCUUGCUGCAGGAUAUUGCAGUCACAGGUCACGAAUGUUUAAGCAGGAGUUACUGCCAUCCAGAGGAGAAAAGCCAUAAGCUGCCGUAUUUCAUUAUUUUUUAAGCAUGGAAAGGUAAGCCUAAAUGGUUCAUUCAGUUUC